Molecule: long non-coding RNA, 781 nt
Organism: Hemicordylus capensis (graceful crag lizard)
Lineage: Eukaryota; Metazoa; Chordata; Lepidosauria; Squamata; Cordylidae
Exons: 3
Source: RefSeq, a predicted model, not a curated record
UAACGUGAGAGUGCCCAGGGGUUGAAGAUCUUCUAUAUAUCCAAGAGAGCCAAACACAGUUUUCCAUUCAUAUGACAAUUCUGACCAAAAGCAUUAUUUCAAGUGUUGGGAUUUCAGGGGUUCCAUCAGUUCUUAAUUUUAAAAAGGCCCCAUGUCCCUAAGGCAAAAUAUAUUCAGAGAGUAACAUGUGCUAGGCUGACUUUGGAUUAAGGUGCAGCUGUUGGUCAGAUAUAGUUAAGAACAGUUUUAUUUCAUUUCUCUCUCCCUCGCAGAGGACAAUAUGCCAAACUGUACUCUCAAGGAUCAUAUGCAUUCCAUAGUGCCGGCAGCCGUACCACAAGAGAAAUGUGCACCUUCCAAACAGGUCACAGGGAUAUGCCUGUGGAUGUGUAGAGGGCGUAGCCAAGCAACCUGGGAAGUGUGGCAUACAGUACAAUUCUGGUUGCAAGCAUGCCAUAGAUGGAAAGCAGUCUAGAUGUCUAGGCCCUUUGGAAGUAGUGGAAUCUUCAAACAAAGAGUUUGAUUGACUCAAGAUCUGUCAACCCACCAUUUCUAUCAAGCACUUAAAUCAAAGACAGAUGUGCAACUCAGGGGGACGUGCCAUCCAUUUUAAAAACAGAAGCAAAUGGAAAGAUAACCUUUCCACAACAAAAGACUCCCUUAACAGAUGAAGGAAGUGAUGGUCAGGUUAUGUCAACCUUUUAGAAGCUUAGGUUCCUGUGAUAGUGACCAAUUGCUUUGUUGAUAAGAUUUGUUUAAGAAGUUGAAGAUUGAAAUACAA